AUUUAUUAGAGCCCUAAGCUGAAAAUGAGCCAAAGAGCCAUCACUAGCAGAACAGAGAAAUCUAUUGCGAUACACUCACGCACCACACCGUCAAUAAGGCGAGUACAGGUCACAGUAUGAGCAAAGGCAGCCAGAUAUGAAAGCACACCACCCGCAGGGCGCAGCUUCUGUGAAGAAUGAGGCGAAGUCUGCCGGCUCGGGUUUGCUCUGGGUGGACUGAGAGCUGGGGCGGAGGUGGGGAGCGUCCUCUCCCACGGGUGUCCUACAUUCGCGAACCUCCAUCAGCCGAUGCACAGGACCAACCUUCAUUCUUCAGGGCAGCGAUGAGCUAAGGAGAACGGCCCUUCCUCCUCCGUGGCUUCCAGGCACUGUGCUCCCAUCAAACACCGCGGAGCGCCCGAGACCCGAAGGCGGGGUUGCUGAGGUGUGGGAGCUACGUGGCUUCUUCUCGUCUCAAGGAGCAAGCUGGAGCACUGGGACGUGCGCCAGCUGCCUCCCGCCGGGGUCCCAGGGCGGGCGGAGGGCAGAGCGGGAAGGGCCUGUCCGGGUGGCUAUGGAGUGAGCGCCUUCAGGGCUCCGGAACGUCCCAGCUGUCUUCCCGUGCGGCGCCCCUUCUUCCGUGUCAACUGCGGCUUCCCCCUGGUGCAGUCCUGGCCCCAAGGUCCCCCGACCAGGGCCCACCGUGCGCCUUCUCUGUGAGCCAUUUCCUCCCCGACCCUGCGGCUGCGAUGUGGCCUGGCAGCAGCCCGCCGCGUCUGGAAGCAGGGCCACCGCGAAGCCCGUGGGAAGACGUCCCUGCAGCCUGCAGGACCCAGCGCGGAUUCCACAUGCCUGCGUGGCGCUGCCCAGGACCACCCGACUUGCCGGCCCCACUGCGCGGGCCGCACGGCUCGGCUCGCAGUACCAGGCGCUGGGAGCGCAGGGGAGGAAGCCGCGCUCUGGUCUUCACCUGGUUCCUACUUGGGCCCAAACGGGAAGGGACACCAAACACGUCUGCUGUCUCCCGGAGGGAGGCGGGUGUUGCUCAUGCCUGCAGGGGGCUGGAGGAGCGAGGGGCUCUGAGGACCCCAGGGGCGAGAAGAACGGCCAGGGAGGUGCAGAGCAGCAGGGCGCGGCGCGGCGCGGCAUUACGGACCACGGACCACACGCUGCCACUGGCGUAUCAUCCACUGUUUCCAGGAAUUCACUGCUUUUUAAAAAUUGGACUAUAAGACACUCAUGGAUAAAAUUCCCAACUUAGGCUUCUCCGUGUCUCCUGACUCCAAACAAUCAAAUUCUGGGCACUCAGACAAAAAUAAAAGAUUAAGGGCAAACUCAAGAAGAGUCUCUUAAAAGGUACGAGAGUCUGAAUUUAUUUAAUUUUAUUUUUAUUUUUAUUUUUUUUUGGUACUGGGGAUUGAACUCAGGACCUUGUGCUUGCAUGGCAGGUGCCGGAACCACUGAGCUAAAUCCCGGCCCGAGAAUUUGAAUUUUAAACAUUUUGAGAAUAUCCCACCAGACUUGGAAUAUAAAGGAAACCCUCUAAGGAGACCAGACUGAACUUUAAUCGAGGAGUUGCAAUAAUCAGGCCAAGCUGAGGCUGCGCCUCGUCUCCCCUGGACUUUCUGCCCCUGAGCCCCACAUCUGAGUCUGUAGGGCUGCCGCACAGGAGCAUGUGAGUUACUCAGUGUAACUGUGUGACUGGCAGCCUGGGACACGGUUGCUGUCAGAGUCUGCUGUUUGCCACUUAAUGGCUCUGCAGUCCUGGGCAACACACUUAGACACCCAGGUCUCAGGUGCUACCUUGUAAAGCAGAGAUAAGUAUAUCUACUUUGUCAAGAUGAAACAUAAUGCAUUUUUGCAGUAUAAUACGCUCCCGAUAAUGUAAGCUGUCUUUUUUCUUCUCCCUCCUUUUUCUUUAGAUGUGUUAGGAAGAUAUUUUUUAGGAACAGAGAGCCAAGGGAACAGAGAAUGAAAAGAUUCCGAACAGCUGAGGGAGCCUCGCAGGCGGUGAUAGAUAGAUGAGCAGACAGGAGUUUUAAGACAUUCUUUGGAUUUGCCGUAUUUCGUGCAGUUUUUGGCAGAUGCCCCACCCCUGGGGUUAAGACUGAAGUUGGAGGUUUUUUGGGGCCUGACAUUGGGCUGGGAUUGGCCACAAGGAAGGGCUGCAUCCUGGGCACUAUCUACCUGGAGGAAGAGGUUUGGGGACAUGGUGGCUGCCACCCACGUUCUCAAGGCUGUCACUGGACAAGCAGUCCUCUUCGGGCUGACGUGGCUGAGGCACAGGUCUGUCCUCACAACACUGCUGUGGGUCCGGACCGCUGGCUGCAGGCGGAGGUCCUCCGUCUAUCUCAAGGAUUUGCUCUGGGGGUCGGGUGAGGACCCUCGCUGUCCCUCCCAGACCCUCCGUGCCAACUGCCCUGCUCUCCAGCAGGAGCCCUGUGCUCCACCAAGGCGCCGUCCUGCUGCUCCACUGCCACCCUCUGAACAGAAAGGCUCCCAGGUGUGAGCAGAUCCAAGGCAGCAGUGCAGUCUCCAGAGCCAAUGAUGGAGGCCACUCGCUCCCGUUUUCUUUUUCACGGGGCUGGAGUUACAGCAGUGUGGGGUUCCAUGCAGCAGCCAUAGUUCCCAGGGAAGCAGAAUGGGCUGGCAGCUUCCCAGGUCCCACAGCACGGGGCACAUAAACCCCUUCCCCGGGGCCUGGCCGAUGCCCUUGUGCCCAGGGGAAGCCGCCUUCUCUUCAGUCACCGGGGACUUCCUGCUGCAGUCCCAGGCAGUGCUGGUGACCAUGCCCAGUUGCCUGAGGGAGGACAGGCUAUGGCCACGAGGCCAGGACAGGAGAAGGCCGCACAGAGGAGGCCGGAAAGGCCCGGGGCAAGGCCGGCCCUCCGUCGACCAGGCCCACGCCCAGGGGAGAGCCAGCCGCAGCUCUGACAGCUUUAUCUUUCCUGGUUUGUCAGACUGGAACCAAGGCCUGCUGAUGCCUCCGUGAAGGUAUAAAUGGUCCCUGCCCGGCCGGCCGAGGAGCACUCUGUCCCCCGAAGGAGAGGCCCUUCCUCCGGGCCUUGGCCAGGCUACGAGCUCCAGGCACAUCCAUCUGGGCCUGGCUGGGCCUCUUGCUGUGCAGGACAGGGCAGCACUGAGCUCGGUGCUGCCCAGAAGGAGCAGGUCCCCGGCCCUUCCCUGAAUCCCUUCCCCUCUCAUCCGGCUCUGCCAUCCUGGAAUCUAAGCAUCCAUUACAUAUUUGUAGUCGCACAAAAAAAUAGUGUCUCUCAUUUUCUGAAACUGAAAUAAAUUGCUGGUAUGAAUUCCUGCUCUAGUGGAUAUCAAAAACUUAACUGCAGUCAGUUAGGUGCGAGUACUCUUCUGUCCUGUAACCACCCUUAGCUCAGGAGCACAGGAGCAGAGCCGUGACACGGACGGAUCAGAGACUUGCAGGGCUGCUUCAGAAAGGCCAGGACAAUGGGAUGAGUGUGACUCAAGUGAGGCGAGUACUUUGAGAGGGCUUAGUAGCAGUGUGUCUUUACUGUAAUAAAGAUUUAAGAUGUUAAACACUCACAGUAUAUUUGGAGCGCACCUCACUUCUCAGUUGUCCUGCUCUAGCCAGGCCUUCAUCUUCGUGAUGUGGGUGUUCUGGCCCCAUGCUCCCCAUUGAGGUGGACUUGUGACCCAGGCCCGGGCAGUCAAAGAGCAAGCAAGCCCUGGAGAACACACCCAGAGUGGACGUGGCCUAAGAAGGCGAACUUCCAGUAUGAGCAGCAUAUCCCUUUAGAACGCUUUCUGGGAAACUGUCCCCCCGGAAGAUGAGCUCCAUCUCAGGAUAAAAGAGAUGACCAACCCCAUCUCACAAGGCACAAAAUCCUCACCACAGUACUGCUAUUUCCACAUCCUGAGCUCCCUGCAGAACAGGCAUCCAGGGUCAAGCCAUUUAUUUUCAUAUGGCUUUUGAAAAAAUACCAUUUUCCCAACAAUAGCCUGAAAUUAUUUUUCAAAUAAUAGAGAUUUUCUUUAUUGCCCACCAGUCCAAAUCCGUGGGUGUGUGGGGCAGGAUGCUUAUGAGCCAUGACUUUGCAGGGCACUCACACUGUGAAAUGUGUUCCGCUUUGGGGAGUUCCAUCUGCAGCGUUUCUACGUUAAUCUCCCAGCUGUCCAGGUCUUGCCUCCUGACAUUACACCCUUGCCAGUCCUCUGCCCUCAUCAGUCAUCUCCAAGUUCUAUCUGAUAAAUGCAUUUUAACUAUAUCCACAUGUAUCGCUAUGACUUGGUUUAGAAUUAACAAUCUCCCUUCUCAUCUUAUAUCAAAAUCAUCUCAGGAACUUUAAAAAAAUAUUGCUGCAUUUGGUCAUCCUCAGAUAAGUGGCUCAACUCAUCUGGAACAAUCAUCAGCAAUCUGAGUGUCAUUAUCAAGGUAAGGUUGACAAGAAGUUGUCUUCUUUGUCCAAGAAUGAUCAUUUUUCCUCUGAAGAGCCUCCACAUAUCCUGCAGCACCUUCCCAUGCGACUUCCAUCUGCAGCACUGCUGGGAAGCCCAGCCAGGGGUCCAGCAGGGCUGUGACAACCCUUGAGCAACCAGGCAACACGCUGGCCAUGCUGUGCUCUGUGCAGUGCCCUUCAGCCAUGCAUCAGUCUACUCGGCUUCUGUAAAAUCAGAAUCAAUGAAAUAUCCUGGACUUUUGGUACGGCAAAUGAAAUUGUCCAAAAGAGGCCCUGGGAAUUCUCUCCGAGUUGUGGGAUGAAAGAGAAUGAGGCCCAGGGUGGCUCCCAGGUCAGGAGGCGACACCUGCAUCCUUCCCCGUGGUCUCCAGAGAAUUCAGGUCACACUGCCACGUGUGACUCUGAGGGAUCCACUUCCUGCUACCACCAUGGCUCACGGAGGAGCCUGUCUGUCUCUGGGCAAAGAAGGCCCUAGCAGGAACAUGCAGGGCUAUCCAGCACCCAAGGGUGGGAGAGAAGAGAAACACACGCUCUUUUCUUGCUGACCCUUUCUUUGUAACUCUCAAGAGCCCUGUCUGAAACCAUAACCAGUGGGGUGAGCUUCUACCCGGUCGGUCUGCGUUGCCCGAUGGAUUUGCAGAGUCCGCUGGGUACUUAUUUUGAGUCACUUGUCUUUGUCGGGAUGCUGUGGCCGCCUGCUGCCUCGUGCCCCCUCCCUCUGCACAUCCCCCUCCUCAGCCACUGGGAAACCCGUUGUCCUUCAGGAUCUCCCUGUGCACUAUGAACGCUCAGGCCCCGGCCUGCGUCCGUCCCCACCUGGUGCUCCCGGAAGGGUGCGGCCUCAACGUCCUCAGAGCUGGGCUUUAUUUCGCAGGCCUGGCUCAUUCUGGAAGUCUGAGGCUCAUCAGCCUUUUUAUAGUUCACUGUUAUUACAUAACUGUUACAUAGCAGUGGUGAAUGAUUAAAAAGUGCCAAAAAACAAAAUACCACCCAGGGAUACUUUCUAAAACUUUUGUUGAUGCAAUUUCAAAUCAUAAUGAAUACAAUGGCUUAACCCACUACCAAUUUCCUGAAACCUACUUUUUUUCUUAAUGAAAAAUAUGGCAACUCAUUGUUUUUGUUUUUUUGGUACUGGGGCUCGAACUCAGGUCCUUGUGCUUGUGCAGCAGGCUGCGAAACCACUGAGCUAAAUCCCCGGCCAUCAUUGUUAUUUUUAUUUGCAUUUAUAUGGUUUGCAGCAAAAUUGAACACUUCAAAUAGGUUUGCUAGUGAAUUUGUAUUUCCUUUUGUUUCUUCCUUGUUCAUAGAUUUUUGUUUUUCUAUAACUCAUCUAUUAAUUGAGGAGUAUCAAAUCCUUAUUUAGUGAGUAUGUUAAUUCUAUCAGCUAUGUGAACAUUGUUUAUAGUGUAAAUAUUUAAAUUACUUCAUGAGUUUGUUUUUACUUUAAACACUUAAAGUUUAUAUUUCAGAAAUUUUCUAUUUUUUAGUGCAGUCUGUGUCUACCUUGGUGUCACACUUAGAGAAAGCAUUCCUUACUCUAAUUAUUGAAAUUUUUUCCUAAAAGUAAUUCCAUGGUUAUAUUUGAGUCUUUGACCUACUUUAGUACAUUUCCUUUCCUUCUCUUUUCCAUUUUCAUCUUUCAGCAAAUGCUUAAUAGGAUAUUGCCAUUGGGGAAGUAAACAAAGAUUGCCUAUCUCGAGUUGACAUGCCAAGGAGAAUAGUAGGUAACAAACACAAGAGCAAAUACUAUGGAUUGUACCAGAGGCAGGUGCUAGACCAGCACUCGGGAGUGUGGUAAGCUGAGGGUGGGGUGGGGGCGCUGCACAUGGGAGCGAGUCAUGGAAGAAUGUUUUCGUCCUUCCUUGCUCCUUUAAGGCAGCCUGAGAGCUGGGAGCUCAACAGCCUGCUGGCACCAUGCUUGAAAUUCUAUACAUCAGGCUGUUUUAGGCCAAGUCCAAAUAAAUAGAUUUUUAACUAUUUGAGGUCUACUUGCUCCGCACCAAAACUGUGCCAGGCACCUGGCAGCCUUGGGCAGAUGACCUCCAGGCUGUGCGUGUCCAUUGGAGGAAGGCUGGGGCUUGGGUAGAGACGGUUCAGGUCACAGUAAAUACAGAGGUCUCCAGGCGUCGCGAGGUUAAUUUUGCUCAGAAAAGUGUGCAGGAGCACAGGACAUGCCAG
Long non-coding RNA from Heterocephalus glaber (naked mole-rat), 6590 nucleotides. NCBI's taxonomy places the organism in Eukaryota, Metazoa, Chordata, Mammalia, Rodentia, Bathyergidae. The record is from Ensembl.